AAGUCGUAACAAGGUUUCCGUAGGUGAACCUGCGGAAGGAUCAUUAACACGAAUUAAUAUAUCCAUUAUUCAAACCCACCGUGAACUUUUUCCCUCCCUAUUCUCUUCCCAACAGAUGGAGAGUAGGCUACCUUUUUACAUUUCAUUUUUACCCCAUUUACAAUUUUGGUUUGCUUCUGUUAUUCUAUGGAAUGACUAUACAGUAAAUCAACAACACACUAAAAAACCAUAUUAUCUUUGAAAAAAAGAUUAUGUUUUUUUCUUAUUACGAAAUAAUAGUAAGUUUAUAAAACAACUCUUAGCAAUGGAUAUCUUGGUUCUC
This 322-nucleotide unclassified non-coding RNA is filed under the name fungal sp. Its description in RNAcentral is "partial internal transcribed spacer region". The stretch from base 1 to 46 matches the Rfam family "Eukaryotic small subunit ribosomal RNA", at positions 1786 to 1831 of the family's 1831-position model. The record is from RNAcentral. Lineage: Eukaryota; Fungi.